AAAAAGCAAUUAAUGUGUCAAAACAUUAUCGCAUCCACCGUGCAGUGUAUGGGUAUAUAAACGGAUGUAAAAAAUUCAAAGGUACAUUCCUCCAGUGUUCCAAUCCUUACACAUACGAGUACUUCGCAGCAAAUCCAGGUGACAAUGAUCCGUCAAGCUGUCUUCAUAAUCGCCGCCAUGGUGCUCUUGAGUGCCAGCGCACAACGUGGUGACGUAGCGCAAAAAAUGAUGCGCGAUAUGUUAAGAUCACAAAUGGAGGAUCAAAUGCGACUUGGCAGCCCUUACAGUCGGUCUUCCAUGGACAAGGAUAUGCAGAAGU
Cydia amplana is the source of this 319-nucleotide long non-coding RNA. RefSeq lists it as uncharacterized. The transcript is spliced from 4 exons. NCBI's taxonomy places the organism in Eukaryota, Metazoa, Arthropoda, Insecta, Lepidoptera, Tortricidae. The record is from RefSeq and is a predicted model, not a curated record.